CAGCCGCCGCGGUAAUACGAAGGGGGCUAGCGUUGCUCGGAAUGACUGGGCGUAAGGGCGCGUAGGCGGUUCGUACAGUUGGAUGUGAAAUUCCUGGGCUUAACCUGGGGGCUGCAUUCAAUACGUGCGGGCUAGAAUGUGGAAGAGGGUUGUGGAAUUCCCAGUGUAGAGGUGAAAUUCGUAGAUAUUGGGAAGAACACCGGUGGCGAAGGCGGCAACCUGGUCCAUAAUUGACGCUGAGGCACGAAAGCGUGGGGAGCAAACAGGAUUAGAUACCCCAGUAGUCCCUGUCUCUUAUACA
Molecule: ribosomal RNA, 301 nt
Filed under: uncultured bacterium
Lineage: Bacteria
Description: partial 16S ribosomal RNA
Rfam family: Bacterial small subunit ribosomal RNA
Source: RNAcentral